RNAcentral lists this ribosomal RNA (317 nucleotides) under uncultured bacterium. Its description in RNAcentral is "bacterial SSU rRNA". It matches the Rfam family "Bacterial small subunit ribosomal RNA", at positions 28 to 334 of the family's 1533-position model. The record is from RNAcentral.
GAUGAACGCUAGCUACAGGCUUAACACAUGCAAGUCGAGGGGCAGCAUGGUCUUAGCUUGCUAAGGCUGAUGGCGACCGGCGCACGGGUGAGUAACACGUAUCCAACCUGCCGUCUACUCUUGGCCAGCCUUCUGAAAGGAAGAUUAAUCCAGGAUGGGAUCAUGAGUUCACAUGUCCGCAUGAUUAAAGGUAUUUUCCGGUAGACGAUGGGGAUGCGUUCCAUUAGCUUGUUGGCGGGGUAACGGCCCACCAAGGCAUCGAUGGAUAGGGGUUCUGAGAGGAAGGUCCCCCACAUUGGAACUGAGACACGGUCCAA